UUUCCGUAGGUGAACCAGCGGAGGGAUCAUUAUUGUAGAAACGAUGAAAAAGGACUGUCGAUGAUACGACUGGUCGUGCAGGCCCGAGGGGCGGCAGACACAGCCAUCUCACCCCUACGGGCACCACCGCGUGGGUCCCCCUUGGGCUUGUUCGGCGGGGGGCUUACGGCGUCCCGCACACUUUGAUUUCAGUGAAAAAUGUAUUUAUAAUUUUUGCGAACACGCAAUCAAUACAAGUUUCAACAAAGGAACCCUUGGCUAUCGCAGCGAUGAAGAAUG
Molecule: unclassified non-coding RNA, 279 nt
Filed under: plant metagenome
Description: partial contains small subunit ribosomal RNA, internal transcribed spacer 1, and 5.8S ribosomal RNA
Source: RNAcentral